UACGGGGGGGGCAAGCGUUGUUCGGAAUUACUGGGCGUAAAGGGCGUGCAGGCGGUCUGUUAAGUCUGGCGUGAAAGCUCUCGGCUAAACCGGGAGAGGUCGUUGGAUACUGACGGACUAGAGGACGGUAGAGGCGUGUGGAAUUCCGGGUGUAGUGGUGAAAUGCGUAGAGAUCCGGAGGAACACCAGUGGCGAAGGCGACACGCUGGGCCGUACCUGACGCUAAGACGCGACAGCAUGGGGAGCGAACGGG
Molecule: ribosomal RNA, 253 nt
Filed under: uncultured bacterium
Lineage: Bacteria
Description: partial 16S ribosomal RNA
Rfam family: Bacterial small subunit ribosomal RNA
Source: RNAcentral